RNAcentral lists this ribosomal RNA (965 nucleotides) under Microbacterium esteraromaticum. RNAcentral describes it as "bacterial SSU rRNA". It matches the Rfam family "Bacterial small subunit ribosomal RNA", at positions 39 to 1013 of the family's 1533-position model. The record is from RNAcentral. Lineage: Bacteria; Bacillati; Actinomycetota; Actinomycetes; Micrococcales; Microbacteriaceae.
GCGGCGUGCUUAACACAUGCAAGUCGAACGAUGAAGCCCAGCUUGCUGGGUGGAUUAGUGGCGAACGGGUGAGUAACACGUGAGCAACCUGCCCCUGACUCUGGGAUAAGCGCUGGAAACGGCGUCUAAUACUGGAUAUGUCCCGUCACCGCAUGGUGUGCGGGUGGAAAGAUUUUUCGGUUGGGGAUGGGCUCGCGGCCUAUCAGCUUGUUGGUGAGGUAAUGGCUCACCAAGGCGUCGACGGGUAGCCGGCCUGAGAGGGUGACCGGCCACACUGGGACUGAGACACGGCCCAGACUCCUACGGGAGGCAGCAGUGGGGAAUAUUGCACAAUGGGCGGAAGCCUGAUGCAGCAACGCCGCGUGAGGGAUGACGGCCUUCGGGUUGUAAACCUCUUUUAGCAGGGAAGAAGCGAAAGUGACGGUACCUGCAGAAAAAGCACCGGCUAACUACGUGCCAGCAGCCGCGGUAAUACGUAGGGUGCAAGCGUUAUCCGGAAUUAUUGGGCGUAAAGAGCUCGUAGGCGGUCUGUCGCGUCUGCUGUGAAAUUCCGAGGCUCAACCUCGGGCUUGCAGUGGGUACGGGCAGACUAGAGUGCGGUAGGGGAGAUUGGAAUUCCUGGUGUAGCGGUGGAAUGCGCAGAUAUCAGGAGGAACACCGAUGGCGAAGGCAGAUCUCUGGGCCGUAACUGACGCUGAGGAGCGAAAGGGUGGGGAGCAAACAGGCUUAGAUACCCUGGUAGUCCACCCCGUAAACGUUGGGAACUAGUUGUGGGGUCCUUUCCACGGAUUCCGUGACGCAGCUAACGCAUUAAGUUCCCCGCCUGGGGAGUACGGCCGCAAGGCUAAAACUCAAAGGAAUUGACGGGGACCCGCACAAGCGGCGGAGCAUGCGGAUUAAUUCGAUGCAACGCGAAGAACCUUACCAAGGCUUGACAUACACGAGAACGGGCCAGAAAUGGUCAA